UAUGGUGGUCAUGUUGCUGGUUCGACCCCAUAUGUUCCAGAUGUGAGGUCGUCGUAAGAGGGAACCCGGUGUGAGUCCGGGACUGCCCCGCAGCGGUGAGUGGGAACGACAGCCGUCAUGACGCACUGGGCUUACAGCCUGGGAAGCGACGGCCAGUAGAUGGGCCAACCAGCCCGUGCCCGCGAGUCCGAAGACCUGCCAGCAAGCAGCCGCCCCA
Molecule: non-coding RNA, 217 nt
Filed under: Luteipulveratus mongoliensis
Lineage: Bacteria; Bacillati; Actinomycetota; Actinomycetes; Micrococcales; Dermacoccaceae
Source: RNAcentral